AUAUUCCUUGGACUUAUCGUUUAAGCAUAUAACAUUUAUAUGAGACGGCUCAAACAAUAAUGUUUGCCCUUGAUAUUAAACUAGAUUAGUUUCACAUGUGAAAUGUCCGUAAAGUAUCAUCAUAUGAUUGGUUUUAGGGCACAUUUCCAACAACAAGUUGAAGUUGUUUAGUUACCACCAGAGCCAAAAAGCCUUACCUUUUGCAUAUGUAUUGUAGGUUUAACCCAUUUGAGCCUUAUUUAGCCUAUUUUCUUUUUUAGCCACAUUAUCCUUACCUAGCCUAGAAUAGGAUUAUCCAUACCCUUGUUCUUGAAGUAUAGUGGAGCAUGACUUGUUGGAAAUGUGCCCUAAAACCAAUCAUAUGAUGAUACUUUACGGACAUUUCACAUGUUAAACUAAUCUAGUUUAAUAUCAAGGGCAUAGAUUAUUGUUUUAAGCCACCUCAUAUAAAUGUUAUAUGCUUAAACGAUAAGUCCAAGGAAUAUGUGAUUGGGAGAAUACGAU
This 504-nucleotide long non-coding RNA is filed under the name Malus domestica (apple). Its description in RNAcentral is "long non-coding RNA (MDOM_LNC014047)". The record is from RNAcentral. Lineage: Eukaryota; Viridiplantae; Streptophyta; Magnoliopsida; Rosales; Rosaceae.